RNAcentral lists this ribosomal RNA (441 nucleotides) under uncultured bacterium. Its description in RNAcentral is "bacterial SSU rRNA". It matches the Rfam family "Bacterial small subunit ribosomal RNA", at positions 338 to 795 of the family's 1533-position model. The record is from RNAcentral.
CCUACGGGUGGCAGCAGUAGGGAAUUUUCCACAAUGGGCGAAAGCCUGAUGGAGCAACGCCGCGUGCAGGAUGAAUGCCUUAGGGUUGUAAACUGCUUUUAUAUGUGACGAUUAUGACGGUAGCAUAUGAAUAAGGAUCGGCUAACUCCGUGCCAGCAGCCGCGGUCAUACGGAGGAUCCAAGCGUUAUCCGGAAUUACUGGGCGUAAAGAGUUGCGUAGGUGGCAUAGUAAGUAGAUAGUGAAAGCGUGUGGCUCAACCAUACAUCCAUUAUCUAAACUGCUAAGCUAGAAGACGAGAGAGGUAGAUGGAAUUCCCAGUGUAGGAGUGAAAUCCGUAGAUAUUGGGAGGAACACCGAUGGCGUAGGCAGUCUACUGGCUCGUUCUUGACACUAAGGCACGAAAGCGUGGGGAGCAAACGGGAUUAGAUACCCUAGUAGUC